Molecule: ribosomal RNA, 274 nt
Filed under: uncultured bacterium
Lineage: Bacteria
Description: partial 16S ribosomal RNA
Rfam family: Bacterial small subunit ribosomal RNA
Source: RNAcentral
CCCUUGUCAUUAGUUGCUACGAAAGGGCACUCUAAUGAGACUGCCGGUGACAAACCGGAGGAAGGUGGGGAUGACGUCAAGUCCUCAUGGCCCUUAUGGGUAGGGCUUCACACGUCAUACAAUGGUACAUACAGAGGGCUGCCAACCCGCGAGGGGGAGCUAAUCCCAGAAAGUGUAUCGUAGUCCGGAUUGUAGUCUGCAACUCGACUGCAUGAAGUUGGAAUCGCUAGUAAUCGCGGAUCAGCAUGUCGCGGUGAAUACGUUCCCGGGUCUU